Molecule: long non-coding RNA, 8053 nt
Filed under: Canis lupus familiaris (dog)
Lineage: Eukaryota; Metazoa; Chordata; Mammalia; Carnivora; Canidae
Description: lncRNA (ENSCAFG00000056072.1)
Source: RNAcentral
GGAGUAGCAAGGAUAACACCGAUUCAGUUAUUCAGAAAACUACCUGCGAGCCAACAAUGUUCAGGUUACUGUGUGCCAGGUGUGAGCUUGUCAGGAUAACUAUGAUACAGUGGCUGCCUUCAAUUUGCUUUUAUUCUAUCACAGGAAAACCAAAAUUAACACUUACUGAGACAAAGAGGAUAGAAUUACAAGUGUUCUAGUAAUCGCCCGUACGGAAUACAGGGAGUGCCUAAGCUAUCUUUGCUAUGUGGAUGAAUGGUGGGCAGGGAGGUGUUCCAGACAGGAUGUGAAAUGCGGAAGAACAAAUAGAGGGGAUUCACAGAACAGAAAUGGAACCUGCAAACAAUGCAGCAUGAUAAAGUAGGAAAGGCUUAGAGAGACGACUCGUAUUGAGUGUAGAAAUAAAUAUCACAAGUUCCAAAUAUUUAUUCUGCCCUGAUUAAAUUUAAAGCUGGAGUCAAUGAGCACAGGUUGAUAAUAGCAAUAAUUGUAGCCAUUGGGAAAUAUUGAACUUUAGCAACACAAUCCAGAGUUAGCCUUUACAUCUUAUGGUUUAGAUAAAGGCAAAGCUGAAAAAAUAUUUAACAGUUAUCUUGAAGAUAAUAAUAUGAACAGUAGGCAAAUUGUGGGUAAUGGCAUUUUCUUAUAGGAUUUAUUAUUGUUUUGUGUCCUGUUGUCAUGAGCUUGAAUAAUUUUAUUUUUCCCCAAGGUAAGCCCUCCAUUGAGAUUAUACUUUGUGAAGAUUGUGUUGCUCUUGAGACUGAUGCUGGUUUGUUCCUGGAUAUUGUUCUUGCUUACCACAGAAAUUUGCAUUUUAUUAUAUUUAACCUACUAUCACCAUCAAAUUUCUUAGAACACCUAAGCAUAAAUAGUUUUUGUCUUACCACACCCUAGCUUUUUUGGUUGGUUAAUGCCAAAGUGGAAAUGCCUUAUUUUCUAUUCAAACAACUUGAAUGUGCCUUCACCCCCUAAAUUAAAAAUAGCCUCUUCUGUAAAGUCAGUGCUUCCUUUGCAAACUACCCCAGUGGUGGGCUGGUUCACUUUCAUACUCCAUGUGCCUCAAUGUUGAGAAGUAUUCUUUUCCUUACUACCCAUUGCUUCUACUUCCAUCCAUCUCAAGUUUCCCAUAUAUUCUUUAAAAAGAGUAACUAUUAUUUUUUAACUUUUUAAAGAUUUUAUUCAUUCAUGAGAGACACAGAGAGAGAGGUACAGACAUAGGCAGGGGGAGAAGCAGGCUCCUUGCAGGGAGCUUAAUGUGCACUCAAUCUCUGGACCCCAGGAUCACAACCUGAGCCAAAGGCAUACUCAACCACUGAGCCACCCAGGUACCGCAUAAGGGUAACUAUCCUUUCACUCUAGUAGGGCAAUUUACUAAAAUGUUUUUUCCCUAUAGUUUUCUCUCUGUCUCAAUUCCAAGCAGGUAGUCAAAUUUUGGUCUUCCUUGCUACAGAGGAGCAUGAUGACCUAUGGAAGCAGAAUCACUUAAUGUCAACUUUCUUUCUUGCUAUUCUUCUCUGAUGUCCUUUGCUCUCAUCGUGGACCAACUAAGCUAUAGGGAGGGAGGUAGAAGCAGAAUCAGGAAGAGAGAAGACUCCUGUGAACAACAAAGAAGACAGAUGUUGCUCAAAGCCUCUGAUCCAAGGUAUCCUGACAGUUUCUAGGGUAAGGAGGUAAGGACUCAGAGGUGAGUGAUGGGAGGUACAGUUAUAUUUUGCAGCUAAGACUAGCAGGAUUGGUUAAAGGAUUAGAUGUCCAGUGAAAAAGGAAAGAGGAAUUAAGGAUAACACCAGGCAUUUUAGCCUGAUCAACAGGAAGAGGGAGAUUGUCCCUCUUUCCUAACAUUAUUUCCCUUGGGGAAGACUUCUGUAACAGAAAGAUCAGGAGUUUGUUUUUCUACACAGUAAGUUUGAUAUGCCCUUUAGACAUCAAAGUGGAGGUGUUGUAUAAAUAGUUAAAAAUACAAAUCUGGAGCUCUGAAGAGGGUCUAGACUAGAGAUACAUAUUUGGGAGUCCUCAAUAAGAGAACACAUGUCAAUGAACCCAAAUGAAGAAAGCAAGCUGGAGACUUACACUCAACAUUAGGGUUUACGAUAUGGAGGUCACUGGUAACCUUGAGCAAAGCUCUUUCAAUAGAGUGGUUGUAAUGAAAAGCCUAGACUGAGGGGUAAAACAGAGACUGGAAGGAGAGAGAUUGAAGAUAACUAAUACAGAUGAAUGUGGACAACUCUUUUGAGAAGUUUUACAGAAAAGUUCAGGCAGAGACAUGUUUGCUCAAGAGAGAUUGUAUUUUAAAAUAUGGGGGAAACUGUAUCAGGUUUUAUGCUGAUGGGAUAUGAUGCAGGAGAAAGAAGAAAGAAUUUCUAAAGCCCUGGAUGAGGUGAGAGGUAACGGCCUCCCUCCUGAGAAGUGGUAUAGCUAAGUGGUAAGAGCGUGGAUUUUGGAGACAGACUGCCUGAGCUCGAAUAGGACUCCUGCCUUUAUAUAACUGUGCAACUUUAGGAAAACGCCUUGUCUAUGUACCUUAGUUAUCAAUCUAUAAAGCGCCUCUCCAUCUGUAAAGUGGGAAUAUAUAGAAUUUCUAUGAGAAUUAAGUUAAAAAACAUAAAGUUCUUAGAAUAGUGCAAACCACAUAGGAAAUACUCAGUACAUUUGAGCCCUUGCUAGGGCACAAAUGGAGAGGAAUCUAGAAGUAUGUAAAGCGGUGCUGGAAUGAGAUUCGUUGUAUGAAGUUACCUUUCACAGCACCCACCACUCUACUCUGCAGGCCCAAACCUGUCUACGUAUGGAAUAUCGGGGUUUAGGAAUCCUGUGUGCUCUGCUUUCCGUCUGAUUCCUAUAUUCCCAGUAAGUCUCAUUACAGCCAACACCCUUUGUCACUAGUAUUGUGAUUCCGCCCCAGGGAGGUUCCUUUUUGUUCACUUCAGAAUGACCAUGAGUGGAGGUCAGGGGCUCCGUUCCCUUGGAGUGUACAGCUGUUGCUGCCCACGUACUGCCCAUGCAAUUUGGGGCACCCAAAAGCUUGAAUAGCCCAAGGUCUUCUAAGUCCAGGAUCUUAAGUUCCUUGACUAUUCAAUUCCCUCAAAAAUUUAGUGGGUUCCUGAUCUCUUUGUUUCCAGUACAUACUAUGGGACAGUUGCCACUGCCAAAUAAUUUACUAAAUUAAAUUCUCAAGCCUGAUCUGUUUCUUUGCCUCCUACUCACCAUCUCAUUCUUUGCCUCAUUUCUGCAGGUUCUCACUCAUGGAGGCUUACUUCCUUGUGUGUGCCUGGUUGCCUUUGACUGUGCUACCUGUUGCUCUUUGCAGACUUGCUUGCUGGGAUUACCUAAAGCAUAGGGUGAAGGUACUCUCUCCAGGGAUACUUUAGUUUGCCAUCCACCAUAUUUAUUUGGCAGUAUCAUUUGGGCACUACCUUAACCCAUGUUUAAAGUGUGGGCUUCCCUGACCCACUCAGGCCUUGUGAACUUGGACUGACAAUCCCUCACCAUGACUGGGCAAUCACCACAAAUUCUCAGGGUUAUGUUUUUAUCUUUGUAUUCAUUUUUAUUUUCCUCUGUUCCAUUCAACGGAAUGGCAACCUUUCCUGCAAUCUUCCAGGUCUGGGUUCAGAAAAGGGAGCCUUACUUUUGGUUCACUCUGAGCCUGAGGCUAGAGUCCUUUAUAAGUCCAGGGCAAUGCUGGGACCCCAUAGCUGAUAAAACUCUCCACCUUGGAUGGGCGCUGGACCAUGACUUCUGUCCUCUUGCCCCUUGAAAUUAAAAGGAUAAACGUGAGCUUCCUGAUAUCAACCCUCAGGCAGAUUUAAUUUUCUUGCUAAUAUUCUCCCUUUCUUUCCUAGGUUCAGUUUUGCAAUCAGUUAUCUCUGACAAUCCCCAUGCUAUUUUGUUAGCUUAUCAAUGGGUUUAAGAUAAUUUCUAAUGUUUUAAAUCCCAUUACCUUGGUUGCUUCUUAGUAAUAAGUCCAAAUCUUAGGCUGCCACUGUUGAAGUAUAGAAUUCCUAAGCACAAUGUAGGCUCUCAUCACAUAACUAUGAAAAAUGAAACCGUUGAAAGAAAAGAAAGAUACAAUGAUACAAUACAUGUAAUACAUGUAAAUGUAAAAUAUUGAGUCAAAGAAAAACAUAUACUGUUGACCUUGAACAACAUGGGUUUGAAGUGUAUAAGCCCACUUACAUGUGACAUUUUUUUACAGUACAGUACUAAAAAUGUAUUAUCUCUUCCUUAUGCUUUUCUUAACAUUUUCUUUUCUUUAGCUUAUUUUAUUAUAAAAAUACAGUAAAUAAUGCAUAUAACAUGCAAAAUAUGUAUUAAUUGACUAUGUUAUUGGUAGGGCUUCUGGUCACCACUAGGCUAAUAGUAGUCAUGUUUUGGGGGAGUCAAAAGUUAUAUGCGGAUUUUCUACUAUGUAGGGAUUCAACCCCUUACCCCUGCAUUGUUCACAGUCAACUGUAAUUUCAAAUGUUAUAAACUGUGAAUAGUUAAAACCAUUUCAAACUGUACAAGAGAAAUUUCCCGUUGACAGUUACCAUCAAGAUUUUGAAAGGAUCGUUAAAGGCUCAUAAUCAGGAAUUAUGUAGAGCAUUUCAAGAACAAAACUCCAUAUAAAAAGUUGCAGAAAAGCUACAUGGAUGAGAAAGCUGAAGGUUGGCAAAUUGAACACCAAUAAAAAAUAAAUUUAUUAUUUAAAAAAAUUGAAAAUAUUUUAUUUGGAAAUUUCAUAUGCAUUCAAUAUACAAAGCCUUUCCUAAUUCUUGUAUUUUAUUCUUAUCAUAACUAGUGAUAGUUUUAAUGUGAUGAAUUUUUUUAUCACAGUUUUCUUUUUGUGCCCAGAUAUGAAAACAAUUGGAAGUAUUAGGAAAGGGAGAAAUCAAGACCCAAAGGAAACGUGCUAAUUAAUAAAUACAGAAUUAGCUCAUUUUAUUAUUGAGUAAAGCAAAUAUAAUACAGGCCAGAAUACAUGCAGGUGCCCAACAAGUGGCCACAGAGCUGGAGAGGACUUUCUGCUCUGUUUACAUGAAAGUAAAGCUACUGUUGCUCUACACCAUCCUAGUUUUUAGCUGUCUGCAGGAAUUUAUUUUGCAUCAGUCAUGACAUGGAGUGUACUCUGAGACUCCAGUCUUUCCUAAUUCUUUAUCAAGCUUGUUCUGAUGUUCUGAUCUUCAUAAUAGUUUUUAAAAAGGCGUUUAAAUUUAUUUAUUCAUGAGAGACACAGAGAGAGAGGCAGAGGGAGAAGCAGGCUCCCUGCAGGGAGCCCGAUGCAGAACUCGAUCCCAGGACCCCAGGAUCAUGACCUGAGCCAAAGGCAAAUGCUCAACCACUGAGCCACCCAGGCACCCGUGAUCUUCAUAAUUCUUUAUCAAAAUCUCCUAAGUUUGCCUCUGACAGUCUAACCAGUUCUUCUUAUGAGUCAUACCCUACAGCAUUCUUUAGUGAGCUUAGGUUAAGCUCAGUUUCCGUACGGAAGCACUGUUCUAGGUAGCCGCACUGAGCCCAGCAGCACAGGAGAAUAGCAGAACAGGCCUAACUCUGACUUCGAGGAACAAACUUCUCUAGAACAUGCUGUUAUUUCCAUCCACGGUUUUAGUGACUGCUGUGAACGCUGUCUGUUGUAUAGUCUGUUGUAUAAGCUGACGGAGGUGUCAGCAGCUGUCUGCUUCUGCUUUUAGGGUGUUUGGAAGAUAGAAUGCCUAUGGGAGCCCAAAUAGGAAUGAUGCAGUGUAGGGGGAGCUGGAGCCUCAACUGUGCACAGCGGCAGCAUCAAGCACGGAGCAUUAUUCCUGGAGAAAACUAGAAAGAUUCCCACACUGGAGCUGGCAGGCACAGAGAUAGGGACUGGGAAAGGAAACAGAAAUCAGGCUGACCAAUGGAAGGAGCCUCUAUGGAUUGUGAUGCUGGUCAUCCCCCUUCUCUGCCCCACCAAGUAUCGGAGCCAUGGGCAGAUGCUGCAUUUGCCUUCCUAUACAAGCAGGGCUGCACUGAGUGUGUACAGGGCCGCAAGCAAUUUGUUUUUUGAGAAUCCCCUGUCUAUAAAUGCAAUGAGGCUUAAAAUUAAUUUUUAAAUUCAUGGUCCCAUAUGAAGUACAGUCAUUUAUUGAUGAAAAUUUAGAAUAAUAAGUAGAGGGAAGGGGCUUAUGUAUCUGUUUAUUGUCUGAUCAAUUCAUAGUGUUCAGGUGCCAUCUCUAUUGGUUUGGAUCCUAGAUCCCCCACAUUUUCUUAGUACUAAAAAUGCCCAAUGUGCUAAUCAGGGUAGUUUUAUGUCUUCUAGUGGCAGGAAAAGAUGGCAACAUUGUGACUACGCACAAUGCUAUAGUUCUUUAGAACCUAUUUAUAUUUGUCUAGGUCUUCUUAUUCCUGUGGUUCCCUAAUACCAUUUACUACUUUUAAUCACAUCAUUAUUCAUUAUGUUGAUCAUUCAUUGCACCAGCUGUGAACCCUGGAGCUUCCAAUGACAUUCAAAGGUUGUUACUGUGCUUCAUUGAUGAUAACACAAAUGCAAGUGUUAUCCAUUUUCCAGGCAGUGAAAACAUAAAUAAUACUUCAUUUUCUAUAUGUGUUGUAUUUACCCCUUGGAGUUUAUGGUAUGCAGUGUGUCUUAACCUAUGAUAUGACUCUUUAGGUCAUAAUCAUUGCAUUCUUGGAAUGGGACCUCUUUCAAUGUGGACUACACCUCCGCCUUCCAUCAUCUCCAUCAGCUGGGAGAACAGGCAAGGGGCCUGUAGAUGGAGUGAAAAAGCAGCCUAUUAAUACAAAGAUUACUCAUUUCUUCCCAGCAUAGCCUAAUACUGAUCAAGGACAGCAUGGCAUCUCCUCAUGAGUUGGAGACAAGGGAAGGCAUUGAAAGGAAGGGUCAUUGGCUUUGUGGAGCAACAAUCUGGAAAUUUCUAGAGAGAGAUAGAAAUGUCAUCACUGGAGAUUUGCCUUCACAUGGACCAGCAGAGGGACUGGGCGACUGUUCUGGGUGCCCCCAAGGGGGCACAGAAGAUAAGAGCUACCACUCUCACCAUCCUCAGGUGCCAUAUUCCAAAGGUGCCAAAGGUGGCACCACAAUUGGAACAAAUAGAUGAAAGCUGUCACAGGGACCUAUGCACAUAUUCAUCAGUCCCAGGGCAGGUGUCGAUUGCUAGUCUAGAGCCCUAAACUAGAAGGAUAUAAAUAAUCUCUAGUAGAUCUAAUCCAAAAAUAACACACAAGCACAGUUUCUUCGAUGCAGUAUUAUAGAAACAAACACAUAAAAUAUAUUAGUUACCUACAAACCACUAAAAACAAUUGGGUCUUUGCUGAUUCAGGAGGAGCUGCAGAUGUAAUGGAGUCUCAAUGGUCAUUUCAUUGUGGGAAUGUUGAGUUAUCAUUUGCAAGGUGGCUGCUAGGGACUGACUUGUGUCCACUCCAAAUUUCAUAUGUUGAAGCCCUAACUCCCCACUGUGAUGCGUGUUUGGAGACUGGGCUUUGGGAGGCAAUUAGGGUUAAGAGGUCACAGGAGAGGGCCCUCAGAAUGGGAUUGGUGCCCUUAUAAGAAGAGACACCAGAAAGCUGGCCCCCUCUCUAGUCUCCCCCACUGACCACCACCAUAUGAAUACAUAGUGAGACAGUGGCCAAGUGCAAGCCAGGAAGAGAGCCCUCACCAAAACCAACCAUGCUGGCACUCUGAUUUUAGGAUUCCAGCUUCCAGAAUGGUGAGAAAAUUAAUUUCUGUUGUGCAAACCACCCAGUCUAUGGUAUUUUGUUAUGGUAGCUCCAGCUAAUAACAAUAGCUAAAUGUAGCGUUCACUAUUUAUUUUGUGUUUGUUUACAGAACACUUGGUAAUUUUACUCCCAUUAUAUUUUAAAGGGACAUUUUAUAUAUUAAUUUUUAAACUGAAAAGUAUAUUGAGAUCUUUAGCAAUGUGAUUUUGUGCAAUUUUUUUUAACCUUUUUGUUUCCUCAUCUAUAAAUCUGACAGUAGAACCCUGUAGGAUUUUUGUAAGAAUGAAAUCUGUCAAUAUUUGUAGGGUUCUUAGAGUAGUGCCUGGCACAAUAUGCUGUGUAUUUAUUACAUUAAAUAUAAGUAAAAAUAAAA